This 72-nucleotide transfer RNA is filed under the name Camelus bactrianus (Bactrian camel). It matches the Rfam family "tRNA". From Rfam's summary of the family: Transfer RNA (tRNA) molecules are approximately 80 nucleotides in length. Their secondary structure includes four short double-helical elements and three loops (D, anti-codon, and T loops). Further hydrogen bonds mediate the characteristic L-shaped molecular structure. tRNAs have two regions of fundamental functional importance: the anti-codon, which is responsible for specific mRNA codon recognition, and the 3' end, to which the tRNAs corresponding amino acid is attached (by aminoacyl-tRNA synthetases). tRNAs cope with the degeneracy of the genetic code in two manners: having more than one tRNA (with a specific anti-codon) for a particular amino acid; and 'wobble' base-pairing, i.e. permitting non-standard base-pairing at the 3rd anti-codon position. RNAcentral also lists the same sequence under 2 other names. Lineage: Eukaryota; Metazoa; Chordata; Mammalia; Artiodactyla; Camelidae. The record is from Rfam by way of RNAcentral.
GAGGGUAUAGCUCAGCAGUAGAGCACAUGCUUAGCAUGCACGAGGUCCUGAGUUCAAUCCCCAGUACUUCCA